This is a small nucleolar RNA of Ornithorhynchus anatinus (platypus), 138 nucleotides long. The record is from RefSeq and is a predicted model, not a curated record. Lineage: Eukaryota; Metazoa; Chordata; Mammalia; Monotremata; Ornithorhynchidae.
UUCCCCUCGGGAUCACACCUGGAGAGUUUCCAGUACUCUACCGGUCUCGGUUAUGGGAGGGAGAGUCAAACAGAGGCAUACCCAUUCCAUUCCUAGCUUGGACAGUGGCUAGCCAGUGCAAGACAAUCUGCUACAAGU